UACGUAGGGGGCGAGCGUUGUCCGGAUUUAUUGGGCGUAAAGAGCUCGUAGGCGGUUUGGUACGUUGGAUGUGAAAUCUCCAGGCUCAACUUGGAGGGGUCAUUCGAUACUGCCAUGACUAGAGUUCGGUAGGGGAGUGUGGAAUUCCUGGUGGAGCGGUGAAAUGCGCAGAUAUCAGGAGGAACACCCGUAGCGAAGGCGGCACUCUGGGCCGGAACUGACGCUGAGGAGCGAAAGCGUGGGGAGCGAACAGG
Molecule: ribosomal RNA, 254 nt
Filed under: uncultured bacterium
Lineage: Bacteria
Description: partial 16S ribosomal RNA
Rfam family: Bacterial small subunit ribosomal RNA
Source: RNAcentral